This 45-nucleotide non-coding RNA is filed under the name Schistosoma margrebowiei. The record is from RNAcentral. Lineage: Eukaryota; Metazoa; Platyhelminthes; Trematoda; Strigeidida; Schistosomatidae.
AUCCAGUUGACGAGUCCGACAUAAAACGAAACGCGCGUCAUAGAU